RNAcentral lists this ribosomal RNA (497 nucleotides) under uncultured bacterium. Its description in RNAcentral is "partial 16S ribosomal RNA". It matches the Rfam family "Bacterial small subunit ribosomal RNA", at positions 28 to 507 of the family's 1533-position model. The record is from RNAcentral.
GAUGAACGCUGGCGGCGUGCCUAAUACAUGCAAGUCGAGCGAACGGACGAGAAGCUUGCUUCUCUGAUGUUAGCGGCGGACGGGUGAGUAACACGUGGAUAACCUACCUAUAAGACUGGGAUAACUUCGGGAAACCGGAGCUAAUACCGGAUGAUAUUUUGAACCGCAUGGUUCAAAAGUGAAAGACGGUCUUGCUGUCACUUAUAGAUGGAUCCGCGCUGCAUUAGCUAGUUGGUAAGGUAACGGCUUACCAAGGCAACGAUGCAUAGCCGACCUGAGAGGGUGAUCGGCCCCACUGGAGCUGAGCCACGGUCCAGACUCCUACGGGAGGCAGCAGUAGGGACUCUUCCGCAAUGGGCGAAAGCCUGCCGGAGCAACGCCGCGUGAGUGAUGAAGGUCUUCGGAUCGUAAAACUCUGUUAUUAGGGAAGAACAUAUGUGUAAGUAACUGUGCACAUCUUGACGGUACCUAAUCAGAAAGCCACGGCUAACUACGUG